Molecule: ribosomal RNA, 253 nt
Filed under: uncultured bacterium
Lineage: Bacteria
Description: partial 16S ribosomal RNA
Rfam family: Bacterial small subunit ribosomal RNA
Source: RNAcentral
UACGUAGGGGGCUAGCGUUGCUCGGAAUCACUGGGCGUAAAGCGCACGUAGGCGGUUUGUUAAGUCAGGGGUGAAAUCCUGGAGCUCAACUCCAGAACUGCCUUUGAUACUGGCGAUCUCGAGUCCGGGAGAGGUGAGUGGAACUGCGAGUGUAGAGGUGAAAUUCGUAGAUAUUCGCAAGAACACCAGUGGCGAAGGCGGCUCACUGGCCCGGUACUGACGCUGAGGUGCGAAAGCGUGGGGAGCAAACAGG